This 251-nucleotide ribosomal RNA is filed under the name uncultured prokaryote. Its description in RNAcentral is "partial 16S rRNA". It matches the Rfam family "Bacterial small subunit ribosomal RNA", at positions 525 to 775 of the family's 1533-position model. The record is from RNAcentral.
ACGGAGGGUGCAAGCGUUGUUCGGAAUUAUUGGGCGUAAAGAGCGUGCAGGCGGUAUGAUAAGUUAGGUGUGAAAGCCCUGGGCUUAACCUAGGAAGUGCAUUUAAAACUGUCACUCUUGAGUAUGGGUGAGGAGGGCGGAAUGCCCAGUGUAGCGGUGAAAUGCUUAGAUAUGACGCAGAACACCGAUCGCGAAGGCAGCUAGCUAAGCUAUAACUGACGCUCAUGCACGAAAGCGUGGGGAUCAAACAG